RNAcentral lists this microRNA precursor (93 nucleotides) under Myotis lucifugus (little brown bat). Its description in RNAcentral is "miRNA (ENSMLUG00000026315.1)". The record is from RNAcentral. Lineage: Eukaryota; Metazoa; Chordata; Mammalia; Chiroptera; Vespertilionidae.
CAGAUUUAUGUAAAUAUAUAUAUGUAUGUGUGUGUGUGUGUGUGUGUGUGUGUAUAUAUAUAUAUAUAUAUAUAUACACACAUAUAUGGAAUA